This 55-nucleotide transfer RNA is filed under the name Ixodes ovatus. RNAcentral describes it as "tRNA-Ser". The record is from RNAcentral. Lineage: Eukaryota; Metazoa; Arthropoda; Arachnida; Ixodida; Ixodidae.
AAGAUUAAUUCUAUAGACUUCUAAUCUAUUAUUAAUGACACUUCAUUUAAUCUUU